Molecule: RNA transcript, 3474 nt
Organism: Grus americana (Whooping crane)
Lineage: Eukaryota; Metazoa; Chordata; Aves; Gruiformes; Gruidae
Gene: SLC25A33
Gene name: solute carrier family 25 member 33
Exons: 8
Source: RefSeq, a predicted model, not a curated record
GACGCGGUACGCACCGCCCGCCGGCGUCACGUGCGUGCCGCGGCCCGGCUUCCAGCUUCCGCCGGCGACGCCGGAGCCUCAGUCUGAGCCGGCGGCGGCGGCAGCAGCAUCAUGGCGGGCGGCCCUCAGGAGAACACGCUGCUGCACCUCUUCGCCGGGGGAUGCGGAGGAACAGUUGGUGCCAUCUUUACGUGUCCCUUAGAGGUAAUAAAGACUAGGCUCCAAUCUUCAAAGCUAGCGUUCCGGGCUGUCUACUACCCACAAGUCCAGCUGGGGACCAUCAGUGGUGACGGAAUGGUCAGGCCAACGUCUGUAUCACCUGGGCUCUUCAGCGUUCUCAAGUCAAUUCUGGAAAAAGAAGGACCAAGGUCACUCUUCCGAGGGCUGGGUCCAAACUUGGUUGGAGUUGCACCAUCAAGAGCUGUCUAUUUUGCAUGCUACUCCAAAGCCAAAGAGCGAUUUAAUGGCAUUUUCGUGCCCAACAGCAACAUUGUGCACAUCUGUUCUGCGGGUUCUGCCGCCUUUAUCACAAAUUCCCUGAUGAAUCCUAUAUGGAUGGUGAAAACCAGAAUGCAACUGGAACGGAAAGUCAGGGGUUCAAAACCAAUGAAUGCUUUGCAGUGUGCUAGAUAUGUUUACCAGACAGAAGGCAUCCGCGGCUUUUAUAGGGGCCUGACUGCCUCCUAUGCUGGGAUUUCUGAGACCAUUAUCUGCUUUGCUAUUUAUGAAAGUUUAAAAAAACACCUAAAGGAAGUCCAACUGCCCCCUUCUCCUCCUAAUGGGACCGAAAGGAACUCAACAAACUUCUUUGGACUGAUGUUUGCUGCUGCUGUUUCCAAGGGCUGUGCCUCUUGUAUUGCUUAUCCACACGAGGUCAUACGGACACGGCUGCGAGAAGAAGGCACUAAAUACAAGACUUUCAUUCAGACAGCACGUCUGGUAGCACGUGAAGAAGGCUAUCUCGCCUUCUAUAGAGGACUCUUUGCCCAACUCAUCCGGCAGAUACCAAACACAGCCAUUGUGUUGUCCACCUAUGAGUUGAUCGUGUAUCUGUUAGAAGACCACGCAAAGUAGCAGAGCCAAGACUCCUGUCAUAAACUGUAGACCAAUUUCUUCGUUGAACAAAUAAUCCUUUAAGAGACUGAUGCAGGUGGAAAAACCUACAAGUCUGUGACCACCUGCUGGAUAUUUCCUUUUGGAUUCAUGCUUUCUGAAAGUUGAGACAAACACUACAGCAUUUGAGCCCAGCUUCAGUCUUCCCUGCUGUUGAACUGCAGAAUGAGCUUCUCAUGAUUUGAGCAGGUGUUGAGUUCUUGAGCGUAAACAAGUGUUUAUGGACAUCUUUGACUUCAAGGACCCUAUACAGCGGAGGUGGUGUUUGGACUUGGAAGGAUCAUGCAAAGCGUUAAGAAACAGCCUAGUAGUGAGUAGGGCUGUCUUUUGUAAGAUACAGUUUUCAGGCUAGUAUUUUGUUGCAGAAAUAUAAUGGGUGGUAACUGGAUUCAAACCUUCGUGAAUGUUCUUAUUAGAACCUAGCUGAUGACUGGUAUUUGAGGUCAUAUUUGACAUCAAUGUGAUGGAGGAGCAUAGUACAAAGAGGGUAGAAUUUGUGUGUACCUCAUUAUGAGGCAGAACUGCAAAAAUAACUGAUUUCUAUUAUGUCUUACUGAAAAUAACAUAUCACAUUACCCCUAAGCUAAAAUAGGAAACAGUUGAGUAACUAAAAACUGGCUUGGCUUUUUUUUUUAUGGAGAUGAUGAGCAGCAAAAGCUUUAGUCUCUUUAUAGGAGUCAAAACUGUCAUACCGUGCUGUUUCUAUUUUUGAGAACUAGGACACUUGUGUUGCUACUUUGAAACGAUUUCUGAGAUUUCCUUAAAUUAGUAUUCCUCUGACUUUUAAAAUGUUAGUCAAAUUUGUAGACUGCUGGUAUCUUUGGAGAAUGAGGGGAGGGAACUCAGACCCUCUUGAGGAUUUUGGGACUUGGUAAGGGAGAGUGAACAAAUUUUUGUUCCACCUAAAUCUGAUGGAAAAUCAGGAAUUCUGCUGGAUUUUUGUUCUUGUUCUUUAAGCUUUCCUACCAACCCUGACAGAAUUAGUCUUAAUUUGAUAGGGUGUUAAUAAGCUAUAUUGGGAGCCAAUAGAAUUUCUGGAUUAGUAUAAUUUACUCCUGUUUCCUUCCCCUCUCUACUAGAAUUUUUAAAAUUCACUAACCCUUGAUUCCUUAACCCUGUAAAGAAUUUACAUUUUUAGGUGAUGCUUUGUGAGCAAUCCCAUUGAUGUCACUGAGUAUGGAGUAAGCCUAUUACCAGAGGGACGAAUUUGAAGUAGUUUUUCCCAAACGGAUACCUGAAUUUAAAAAUAACCAGCCUUUCUCUGGUUGUGAAAGAAAAACCAGAAGCAUUUUUCACUGUUCAUUCCACUUCUUCAGCUUCCACAGAAAGUCAGUUUCAUGGAAGGUAGGUAAAUUUGUUACCAGUUAGAAUUUCCUGGGCAGUUUUCCUCCAGGUUCAGGCUUCAUUACAAGACCCUUUGUACCUUAAUUAUCAGUAAGGUGAUGAAGCUAUGGUCUUAUCUGAAGUGACCACAAAGUUUCCAUUAACUUUACCAGGACCGAGUCUGUUCCUGUUCAUAAAUUAACAGUUCAAUUGAAAUUACAAACACACUGUUGCUACAAUAGUAUGAGCUACUCAUGUUGGUUAAUUGAGCUUUGGAAGCAUUUCUUAGGCAUUUGAAGAUGUCUCAAGUCCUUACAUUUUAAGACUUACUGCCUCCUUUUAGGUAUCCAUGGUUGCCUUGAUAUCCCUCAAAAUUAUCUGCAUGUACUGGUGGCUGUGAUAGAUGCUUGUAUUGUGAUUGUGCCCUUCACUGUGAUUUGUAGUUGUUUUGCACAAGUUCCUCAUUAGCUCCUUUAAGGAGGAAACUUUUGGUAAACAAUGCAUCUGUGGUUGGACUGAUACUGCAGAUAUAGUUGACAGGAAGGGAUGACUUCGGUAGAAAAAAUAAGCAGUCAAGUACAGAAGUUCUAAAGGACUUGCAGAAGGGCUUGAUGUGCCAAAUGACUGGGUUGUUCUUCCUCCUUUCCCUAUCAUUUGGUCUCAUAAAACAAUCCCUAAGUAAUUGAGCUAAACAGUGGAGGACAGAUGGGAAAAAUUAUGUCCCACUCGCAUUUAUCAAGAGGAAAUAGUCACUGUUAUUCCAUAUAAUUAAUUUCCAUGGUUAAAUCUGUGGAGAUAGAAAUGUAACAGUUAAAACCCCCACCACAGUUAGGACAAGCUUAAAAGUGGAGCUUACUUCCAGUACAAAUAUUUGUCUAUGAAGAGCUUUUUAACAAGAUGAUGUUGAUGCAACUUGGUUCUCCUGAAUUUUAAGCAGUUCUGUCUAUUGUGUUGAGAGCUUUCUGGUUUUAAUCAGGAAAACAGCUAUGCAAUUUGAGGCAGGGUCAGUCUCGUAUUUUGGAGAGGUCUUACCUUCAU